This 8677-nucleotide unclassified non-coding RNA is filed under the name Leishmania donovani. RNAcentral describes it as "gene:LdHU3.13.0330(CDS-product:hypothetical_prote in_conserved)". The record is from RNAcentral. Lineage: Eukaryota; Euglenozoa; Kinetoplastea; Trypanosomatida; Trypanosomatidae.
GUGCGCUUCUUCUUGGUGGAGGUGCGCACAGUAUUCGUGUCCACUACUCUUGUUCUUGCUGCUUUGCGGUAUGUACACACACACACACAGGAGCGGAUGAUAAGGGAACGCAAGAUUAAUGCACACCACCCAUGUUUGAGGGGUGCCUACAGCUGUGUCUUGAGUUUAUCGGCGCUCAGGCGCCAAAAGACGGCUGCUCCUCCGCGCAGCUGAGUGAGUUCAUCUGCGAAGACAUCCUUCCGUAUCAGGGCUGGGCCGCUAACGAUACCCUUCGCGACACCAUCGUACGGCUCUUGCUGACCACACACGUCAGCGAGUUCGAUGUCCAUGCAGCAGGGGCGAGGGACGACGGAGCGACGUCGGGCGCGCAGAGGGCGGACGCGGCUUCCAGCUCCCCGGGCAGCUGCGGGGGGCGAGACAGAGGGAAGGUGGCACCCGCACCUGCACCCAACGCAUCGAACGGAAAUCAACAGUGGCGUCGAAUUUCAGCGGACGAGGCCAUUGCUCUGCUGGACUUGGGUCGUAUUGCGUGGGCCGAGAGAGGGGAAGUUGGGGUCUGCGACCCGUGCGGCAUGCCAGGGCGGCAGGAGUCGCAGUCCUGUGCUCUUCCCAGAAGGGAUGGCGACCGCAGAAAGUUGCUCUUCUUUACCCCAUCUCACGCCCUGCGCGAGCGUGUCAUGGGCUUUUCCAUCACGAAUGAGAAACUGGAGAUGGUGUCCAGCUUCAUCGCGGAGAACGCCGUGCUUGGCUGGGAUCGAUUGCCCAGCACGCCAGAGUUCAAGGCGCGGUACAAGAACCACCUAGUCGGCAGCGGCCUCAAGUGGCUACGGCGGGUGCACAAGGUCGCGCCCGUGUACAUGUACCACGAGCCUUCACGCGAGGUUAUCUAUCGCUUCUUCCCGCACUUUGCGCUGCCACUGACGGAGCGGGAAAAGAAGAGGCAGCCGACGUGGGCGGUAGAGGAUGGGAGCGGCAGCCGCGCUGAAGCGUCCUCCUUGGGCGACGGCCGUGUUCCGUCUUCAUCCCGCGAAGAGGAACAGCUGUACGGGGAGUGGGGUCGCACUAGCGGCAGCGACGGUGGUGUAGUGCUUAGUUCGACUGCAUCAGCAGCGUCCGCGCCAUCGCUGCAGCAACGCCGCACCUGUCGCCUUUACUACCCCCUCGAUCACUACUACGCGCGCAAGCGCCGUCUGGAGGCGGCGUUCCCUAGCGUGACGUUCGACCUCCAACUGGUGCGCCAGCUGGUCCAGGAGUCCCCGGAGCGCCGGCUGCUGAUGCAGGAUGCCGUGCACGCCAUCCUUGCCGCCCACGGCCUCUUUCUCACCCGCUGGGAGGACUUCUCGCGGACUGAGCGGAUGCACCUGCGGCGCCUCAUGAGCUUGGCGGGCCUCAGCAUCGUGGUCGCCUCCAUCUCCCUGCGCGGACAUCUGCGUGAGCUGCGUUUAGUGAUUCCUUCUGAGGACCUUGUACGGCAGGUGUCCGCCGCAUCAACGUCCGCGUCGUCCUCCGCCCCUGUGAGGCCACGAGCACGCUUUCGCACCGGAGGGUACGACGUCGAAGAGGGAGAAGAAACACGCGAUUUGUACCCGAGCGGCAGUGAAAGGGACGACAACGACGCAGAGUAUGGCCAGGAUGGCGACACCAACAGCAGGGAUGAGGCUGCGCUGCGGAGACAGCUCGUGGCCGCUCAUGUGAUCCUGCGGGCAGACCGCGAGCCUGGCCGCGGUGGAGCGGCCGAGGAGCUGGAUCUUGAUCAUGAGGGGGAUGAGGCCAGGUACAGCGCCGGCGACGAGGACGACGACGAACAGGGCGUUGAAGCUCAAAGCCAGGCCGCGGCGCCGCUCUCGCACCCGUCGACUCGACACCAGCAGGCGGAGGCCGUGGCGGUGCUUCGUGUUGAGCCCAACCAGCCCCUAGAGCUACAGGCCGCCCACGAAGCGGAGCGACGCCCGCUGUCGCUCACCGCCGCAGUACCGCGUGUUCGGUUUCAUAUGCCGUACAAGCAACGGAGCAAAGCCCUUGGCGGCUUCCUCGAGAGGUACGCGAAGACGCGUGGCACACUGGUCACGCGGUAUCUGCUGCUGCGGCACACCAAGGUGCUCACGCUCGUGUACGCGCCGCGGCUACCGACGGGGUCGCCCGCGCAAGGUCCCUGCCCCGUCGAGGCCACUGCUGCGACCGUGGUAAAGAGAGAAGAACAGGGCGACCCACACCAUUCCGGUGAGGGAGUUGCGGUCGCAAAGGCGGCAGCGGCGCCCCUGCCUCUGCCUCGCACGCUUCACUUCGAGCCCAGCGAUCCGCGGCUCCCCAAAGGCCUGUCCGCCUAUUCAGUCAACACAGUGCUGGACGUGCUUGUGCAGGCUGCUCCUCACUACGCGGCGUCGGUGCCGCGGCUCAUACAGAGCAUCGACGUUUCCACCCUAAACCGACGCGUCCUGCCUUUCCUGCGCCACCUCAAAUACGUCCACACGACCGCAGUCGCCCAGCGUGGGCGGAAGCACGUGGGGCUGGUGGUCUUGGUACCUGCGGAGGGAGAGACGCGCCCCAGCACGCUCAGCGACACGGCGAAGCAGGGUGUGCUGGACGCUGAGGCUGCUGCUGCUGAUUUGGCAAGGAGGGUCGCACGACAGCCCGUGCCGCCGUCUGCGGCGAGCGGCAAGUCGAUUCCCUCGGAUAUGGUGUUGCAGAGCCUCCCGGCUGUGGCGGAGGGCGCCCGCCGAUCAACAUUGGGUGAGCGUCUCAUCGAGGUGCAUCCCGCAGCCACGAAGGCGGUAAAUCGAGUUAUGGCAGUGCGCAACGGCUACGCGCGGAGCUUGGUGCAGCGCAUGUCGCGGCUUCACCUCGAGCUGUGGUACCAGCACUACCGCUAUCCCACCGACGGUGCGGCAGCGGGUGCGGGCGGCGUGCGUGUGCGAGAGAUGUACACUCGCAUGACCCUUAGCACGUUUGUCGUCGUCGUUGGUCUUCCACAAGCCGACCUUGGGCGUUUGCUCGGGCGUACAGAUGACGUGUGCGGCUGGUCCACGCCCCUCCGUGAUCUCCCGCCCAGUGUGUAUGGAUGGUGCGUACAGCGGGGAAUGCAGAUGCUGUUCGCGUGUCUGCAGGGGCUGCACGACCGUCGGCUCAUCCGAUCAGCGCAGGGCGUCACCAACAGCUUCCUCUCCCCUGAGGCAUGCGACGACGUUGCCUACACGCUAGAACCGCAGUGCACUGUGGAUGGCUACACGCACUACUUCAUGUCCGCCCCACCCACCGCCGCCGCGUCGCUGUACGCGUGCAUGCGCUACUGGAUUCCGUUCUGGAGCGCGAUAGGGCGGCCGUCGCGCAGGCUCUCAUCGCAGCUCCUGGAACUGGAGUCGAAUGCUACGGUGGCGCAGGUGGUGGCGCUCUCUAAGGUGUUGCGACAGGACCCCAGCAUUUUGGCAGCGCAACUCUACCAAAGCGGUGGGCUACCACUGGAGUCGCGGCGCAGCACCAGCCUCGGCGACGUCGCCGCCGGCACAACGAGACGUGGAGCAGAGCUGCGAGGCGUAUCUGGCCGACGCAGCAUCUUUUCCUCUGCCUCUCUGUUUGUACGCGAGCGUCACGGCCGUGCGGAUGACGGAAACAGCACUUGUCCGACGGCGACGACGACAGCCAGCGGCCGUCACGUUGCGCGACAGCGUCCCCGCAAGGCGCCCCGUACGGAGAUCAGCGGCCCCACCGUUGCUGAGGCACUGGAUUCCGCAUUCCACCACUUUGCGCCUCUCAAGCGCGUAGAGGAGGUGAUCCGCCUUGUGCUGCGCGGCCGCAGCGUGCACCUCUCGCACCACCCACUCUUCUGUGUGCCAGCGACGCUGCCAGCAGUGCUGGUGCGGCGGCACGGAGGCGCGGAGGCCAGCAACACGCUUCUCUGUCCCGCCAGCGGCGGCGGCUGCGGAGGCGCGGCGACCCCUACGGAAUUCAGUCUGGCGAACGCUGGGCAGGGAGGCGGUGCGUACAAUCGGCUGGUGAGCACGUCGACGAUGCACAUGGCAGUACUCGCAGAGACGCUGCGCGCUGUGCGGAACUCGAACGCUACCCAUAGAGCCCCCCAGGUGCGGCACCCCUCGUCCAUAGAGACGCUUCGAGAAGAGGUGGAAAGCGUAUACGCACCACGGGCGGCGGCUUCUACCGCUGCUGCUGCCACCACCGAUGUCGCACCCGCGCAAUCAUGCGCUGCCUCGGCGCCUCUCUCACCACCUUUAGUCUCGCUGCGUCUGUCUCCGCAUACGUCAGAGACAUGCUUGUCUUCUCCGGCGUCGUCGUCGUUGCUGCAGCUGGAGGGCGGCUUUGAGGUGGUCGCCGAUAUGCUGCGCAUGAUUGUCUUCUGUGACCAGGCCCACUACCGCGCCAGCGUCGCGCGGUCCCUCUUGACGGCACUGAACGCACCCUGGCUGGUGUCGCGUGCGCGCGCAUUCCUGCAGCGACUGCCGGUGUUUCGCCGGGCGCGGCAGCAGAACAUCCGCGUGCCGCAGUUGUCGCUCGCGCAGAGCCCGUAUGUUUUACCGCUCAACGCACUGCGCACCGCACCACGCCCGUGCGCAAAUAUGGCUGUGCUGCACCAGUGGGCGCAGGAGGCGGACGCGGUGGGUGGGGCGGUCGCUGGAGGUCGCGAGAGCCCCGUGAUGCUGUGGACGCAUGCGGAGAUGAACUCGCUCCUCGCAUUGGGUGCGCAGGAGUCUUUGCAGCGCACGCCGCCACCGGCGCUGGAGCUCCUUCAUCAGCCCUCGAUGGAUCAAGCUCACAUGUCGAUGGCGAUGAACGCGGUGCGGGAGAAGAUGACGCGGCUGCCUUUGCCGCAGUUGGCGUGGCCGGCAGAGGCUGUCGCAUGCGAGGGGUUCCUGCGGCGGCAGCGCCCUGACGGCGCAGAGGGAACCGAGAUCGGCGAGACAGAUGUGGUCAUCGACACCGUCGCGGCACGACGUGAUGGCCAGCAUCGCAAACGGAAGCGCUCGUCCCUAGUGCGGGGUGGCAACGAAGAAUCCAGCGGUGAGGAAGACAAAGACAACAGCAGCGAGAGCAGCGACGACGACGGGGACAGCGUUGCGGUGACCCGCGCAGAAGAGGAAGCUGCCCGUCAGCUGUACCCGGCCCGCACUAUCCGCAACUAUGGCGACCCGCCGUACUUACAGGAUCUUCCGAUCGACGGCCCUCCGACCGCGGCGGAGCAGCGCGCUGUCGAGGCGUGCCGCGAGGAGCUCAGCAGCGGUGCAUUCGCAUCGUUUUCGCCUCUUCGUCAGCACCAUGACAGCAGCCGCAGCCGUGAUGGGUGUAGUCUGAUACCGUACCCUAGCAUCUUUCACCACGUGGACGGCAGUUGGCACUCGUACAUGUGGCAUCUCGUGGUGCACACUGUCUACCGCUACAUCUUGCGUGUGCCGGGUAUUCGCCACGUGGAUCUGGAGGGGCGAGUGUUGGCGAGUGGUGUGGUGAGCCAGCGGGCGCUGUGGGCGGUGCUGCAGUUUUUGAUUGACCACCAGCUUUUGCUGUGCCUCGAGGAGGAACUCGCGCAGCCCCUCUGCACCCCGGGCGGCGGUGUGCUCGGCGACCCGCCACGGCUGCGCAGUCCAUUUCAGCUGCGCAAGCGUUCUCGGCCUGACGCCGCGCCGUCGUUGCCGUCGUCCCUGUCAGCACCAGUUGGCGAGCGCGACAUUCCAUACCGGCGGAGGGAUGACGAUGCCUGGCUAGGCUGCAUUCGAGGCAGCUGCUGCUAUCAUCCUACCAUACCGUUAGAAGGGCUGCGCCUCGCCAUGUCCCCGCGUCUGCUCGACCCGCUGUCCCCGUAAAAUGUUUUCUGCUUCACAUAGAAUUCGAUGGUGUCACAAUCAGAGCGUGACGCGACCGGCCGCCGAUCCCGCGGCAUGGGGAGGAGGAGCUCACUGGUCCCUUUCCGAAGCCGCAAAGACCCGAUGAUAGUCCCACGUCCUGCCGCCCUGUGGCGCUGGCCACCGAUAUCCGCAAGCUGCUUGGGCACAUGAUCCUGCGACGGCUUGGCGGCCAUGUUGCAGACAGACUGCAACCACACCGCCACGGCUUCCGUCCCCACCGCUCCAGCGUAGGUCUCCCCGGGCUUGCCCCUCCACAAAGCAGCCCGGCACCAGGCAGACACCAGACAUGCGCAGCGUUUGUGGGCUCUAUGCCUGCACGCGUGGCUCGGCAGGUCGCGGCGCUACCAUUGCGGCGCUAAGGAGGUACUGUGUAGACCCGCGCCGCGCCCGCUGAGCCAACGGGCUCUCAGACGGUGGUUGCGCCCGCGGCCGCUUCCAGAAGAGGCCCGGGCUUGCACGCGUUGCUCCACAGGGGUCUGCCCAGGGCCCUCCUCCCCCCACCUCUAUGGCGGGCUCGCUGGGUGCGGGGGGUGGGGGAACAGUGCACCCGGGCUGCGCCACGCCUUCUUAGCUGAUACGCUCGCGCCCCCGCGCCCUCCGCAGACAAGGGCGUCGCGCCGGCCGCGCUGCCAUGCGCCCUCUGGGGGCGGGGCGCUUAGUGGGGCUCUGGGUGCCCCCCAAAAAAGGAUGUGCACCCGCCUUGGCGCGCGGCGCCGCAACCAACCGCAACUCCCCGCCGCACCAACGCGCUUGGAAAAGGGUCGCUGCCCUCGCCUUCCGGGCCUGGGCUUUUGCCAAGUGCGCGGCAUUGGCCACGGCGUCGCCGCGGCUAUGGGGGGGGUGGCCGCGGCUCGUCUUGGCGGGGCGGGGGCGGGGCCCGCCGAAGGACCCGCCCCGGUUCCCCCAGGUGGCGCUGCUCGAACCAAGGCUGCUCUAUGGCGCCGGCGCGUGGACGAACGGAGCUCGCCGAAACUGCUGGGGGGCCUUUGGGGGCUUUCACGCGAACGCGGCCGCAGUCAUCGCGGGCACCCCCCCCCUCGCGACACGCAGGCAACGGGAAUCCAACGAGAGAGGCGGGGGCACACUGUCCCUCGACAACGUGGCGCUGCUGCGCCGCAUCCGCCCGCAUCCCCCCGCGCCGACGCGAGGAGGCCACCUUGCAUAUUCGAUGCGGUGUGUGUGUGUGUGUGUGCGUCGGAUGGCGGUGUGGCCACGGCGCGUCGGCAGUUCUCGAGCGGCUAUACCGGCGUGGGCCCUUUCGGGGCACCGCACGCACACGCAUCGCCCAUGCGCAGCGUUCGCGUGUGGUCUCGCAUCUCUCUCCCUCGCGGGCUGUGUGCGGACACUCUCGUCGAGGAUAAAGCAGCGGCAUGCAGGCAGCGACCCUCUCGCCUCGCGAAGCGCCCAUGCUCGCUGUGGGAGGAUGGCGCGGUACAGACAGGCAUCCUGCCAGGAGCGGCCGCGACGCCUUAUUGCAACAGUAUGCCCGCAGGCGCGGCAGCGGCAGGCCGCGGCCAGCUUGCUCGCAGUUGUCGCACUGAGUGUCAAGCAGUGGGUCUGGAGCUUGAGCUGCAACGGCGACAGCUCGAUGAGCUCAGGCGCGAAAAGCUAAUGGUCGUUGCUGCUCCGGACUCGGUCUUUCUCCCCAUGGCGCUCGGCGCGGGCCCUAAAACGGCGGGGGUGAGGUGUUGCGGCGUGUUGGGGUGCAGAUGCCGGCGCUGCUAGCCCGUCGCGUGCGCCUCUCAUUUCCGUUUGCCUUUGGCCGUUGAGGAUGGGAGCACCGUGGCGAAGCUGACGAGCUUGCAAAAUCGGCAACGCCAGAGGCGCCGACGCCAGCUGCACGGAUCGCGGGCCUGGUCUCCGGUCGCAGAUGCCAGGCCGACAUCCCCCUUCAUCCGCACGGCAGACGCCUGCUGCCGCCGCCCUCGAGCGCAGGACCCUGGACGCGGCCCGCUGGGAUCAAGACAUGCAGUGCAGCCAGGUCCGUGCGGAGUCCGCCGCGCAGCGCGUACCCGACGAGGAGGCGAGGAAGGGCAGGAAGAGCUUGAUAGGUGCAUGACCCGAUUCGGUGGCAGGACGGCUUGUCCCAUGACGGCCAGGCGUUAGCGGCAGUGCCGCGGCGGCAGGCGAUCGGUGGCUGUGUGGUUGUGCAUGCGUAUCCGUUUGCUGGCUUGUUCGCGGGUGGAAUACGGACGCGUCGAAAAUGCUGAAGUCGAUGACGAUGGUGCCCAGCAGAUGCAGCUCGUGUGCGCCCGUAUGCCGAUGUGUGUGUGCGAUGCAGCAUGCAGGUUAGGCGCACUGUGGCACCUUUUCUCUUCGAACGCGAGAUGGAGGCGGCGUAGAGGCACUCAGUCGCCGUGCGCGUGGACUUGCAUGCGAAGGAAUGGAGCCACAUCCACGCAAAGGGAGUGGUGGGCGAAACCGGGGCCGCACCGAAGACGGAGAGGCAGUGGUGAUGGUGACCCUUGCGCUGCUGCCGCUGAUGCCGACCGUGCCAUCGCUAGUGUUGUUGAAUCUCUCCACUGCAGGCGCAAGAGACUCGGACAUUCCUGCUCUUCAUAGGCGUGCCCUCUCCACGUCUGCUCAGCACCGACGCGAGAGUGAAGCAUGUGCGCGUGUGGUGCGUCGGCGUGGGCGUGUUGCGCGCCUGUGAAGCCGCGCCUCAGGCCUGUUCAUGAGAGUGACCUUCCACUGCCUUCUCCUCUUCUCUCUGGUGCCUUAUGCACUUCCCAUGCGGACUUCUAACGGACAUCGAUACCCACGCCCACACACGCGCUUCUUUGCCGACCUGGAGUUUCUCUCUCCUGACUGUGCACCCUUUCUAUCAG